RNAcentral lists this ribosomal RNA (409 nucleotides) under bacterium. Its description in RNAcentral is "partial 16S ribosomal RNA". It matches the Rfam family "Bacterial small subunit ribosomal RNA", at positions 355 to 776 of the family's 1533-position model. The record is from RNAcentral.
UGGGGAAUAUUGCACAAUGGGCGAAAGCCUGAUGCAGCGACGCCGCGUGAAGGAUGACGGCCUUCGGGUUGUAAACCUCUUUCAGUAGGGACGAAGCGCAAGUGACGGUACCUGCAGAAGAAGCACCGGCUAACUACGUGCCAGCAGCCGCGGUAAUACGUAGGGUGCGAGCGUUGUCCGGAAUUACUGGGCGUAAAGAGCUCGUAGGCGGUUUGUCACGUCGUCUGUGAAAUCCUAGGGCUUAACCCUGGACGUGCAGGCGAUACGGGCUGACUUGAGUACUACAGGGGAGACUGGAAUUUCUGGUGUAGCGGUGGAAUGCACAGAUAUCAGGAAGAACACCGAUGGCGAAGGCAGGUCUCUGGGUAGUAACUGACGCUGAGGAGCGAAAGCAUGGGUAGCGAACAGG